This 460-nucleotide ribosomal RNA is filed under the name uncultured bacterium. RNAcentral's name for it is "partial 16S ribosomal RNA". It matches the Rfam family "Bacterial small subunit ribosomal RNA", at positions 338 to 795 of the family's 1533-position model. The record is from RNAcentral.
CCUACGGGAUGCAGCAGUGAGGAAUAUUGGUCAAUGGACGAGAGUCUGAACCAGCCAAGUAGCGUGAAGGAUGACUGCCCUAUGGGUUGUAAACUUCUUUUAUAUGGGAAUAAAACGUUCCACGUGUGGGAUUUUGUAUGUACCAUAUGAAUAGGGAUCGGCUAACUCCGUGCCAGCAGCCGCGGUAAUACGGAGGAUCCGAGCGUUAUCCGGAUUUAUUGGGUUUAAAGGGAGCGUAGGUGGAUUGUUAAGUCAGUUGUGAAAGUUUGCGGCUCAACCGUAAAAUUGCAGUUGAAACUGGCAGUCUUGAGUACAGUAGAGGUGGGCGGAAUUCGUGGUGUAGCGGUGAAAUGCUUAGAUAUCACGAAGAACUCCGAUUGCGAAGGCAGUUCACUGGACUGCAACUGACACUGAGGCUCGAAAGUGUGGGUAUCAAACAGGAUUAGAUACCCCAGUAGUC